This 2932-nucleotide ribosomal RNA is filed under the name Escherichia coli. RNAcentral's name for it is "bacterial LSU rRNA". It matches the Rfam family "Bacterial large subunit ribosomal RNA". The record is from RNAcentral. RNAcentral also lists the same sequence under 5 other names. Lineage: Bacteria; Pseudomonadati; Pseudomonadota; Gammaproteobacteria; Enterobacterales; Enterobacteriaceae.
GGGUUGUGAGGUUAAGCGACUAAGCGUACACGGUGGAUGCCCUGGCAGUCAGAGGCGAUGAAGGACGUGCUAAUCUGCGAUAAGCGUCGGUAAGGUGAUAUGAACCGUUAUAACCGGCGAUUUCCGAAUGGGGAAACCCAGUGUGUUUCGACACACUAUCAUUAACUGAAUCCAUAGGUUAAUGAGGCGAACCGGGGGAACUGAAACAUCUAAGUACCCCGAGGAAAAGAAAUCAACCGAGAUUCCCCCAGUAGCGGCGAGCGAACGGGGAGCAGCCCAGAGCCUGAAUCAGUGUGUGUGUUAGUGGAAGCGUCUGGAAAGGCGUGCGAUACAGGGUGACAGCCCCGUACACAAAAAUGCACAUGCUGUGAGCUCGAUGAGUAGGGCGGGACACGUGGUAUCCUGUCUGAAUAUGGGGGGACCAUCCUCCAAGGCUAAAUACUCCUGACUGACCGAUAGUGAACCAGUACCGUGAGGGAAAGGCGAAAAGAACCCCGGCGAGGGGAGUGAAAAAGAACCUGAAACCGUGUACGUACAAGCAGUGGGAGCACGCUUAGGCGUGUGACUGCGUACCUUUUGUAUAAUGGGUCAGCGACUUAUAUUCUGUAGCAAGGUUAACCGAAUAGGGGAGCCGAAGGGAAACCGAGUCUUAACUGGGCGUUAAGUUGCAGGGUAUAGACCCGAAACCCGGUGAUCUAGCCAUGGGCAGGUUGAAGGUUGGGUAACACUAACUGGAGGACCGAACCGACUAAUGUUGAAAAAUUAGCGGAUGACUUGUGGCUGGGGGUGAAAGGCCAAUCAAACCGGGAGAUAGCUGGUUCUCCCCGAAAGCUAUUUAGGUAGCGCCUCGUGAAUUCAUCUCCGGGGGUAGAGCACUGUUUCGGCAAGGGGGUCAUCCCGACUUACCAACCCGAUGCAAACUGCGAAUACCGGAGAAUGUUAUCACGGGAGACACACGGCGGGUGCUAACGUCCGUCGUGAAGAGGGAAACAACCCAGACCGCCAGCUAAGGUCCCAAAGUCAUGGUUAAGUGGGAAACGAUGUGGGAAGGCCCAGACAGCCAGGAUGUUGGCUUAGAAGCAGCCAUCAUUUAAAGAAAGCGUAAUAGCUCACUGGUCGAGUCGGCCUGCGCGGAAGAUGUAACGGGGCUAAACCAUGCACCGAAGCUGCGGCAGCGACACUAUGUGUUGUUGGGUAGGGGAGCGUUCUGUAAGCCUGUGAAGGUGUGCUGUGAGGCAUGCUGGAGGUAUCAGAAGUGCGAAUGCUGACAUAAGUAACGAUAAAGCGGGUGAAAAGCCCGCUCGCCGGAAGACCAAGGGUUCCUGUCCAACGUUAAUCGGGGCAGGGUGAGUCGACCCCUAAGGCGAGGCCGAAAGGCGUAGUCGAUGGGAAACAGGUUAAUAUUCCUGUACUUGGUGUUACUGCGAAGGGGGGACGGAGAAGGCUAUGUUGGCCGGGCGACGGUUGUCCCGGUUUAAGCGUGUAGGCUGGUUUUCCAGGCAAAUCCGGAAAAUCAAGGCUGAGGCGUGAUGACGAGGCACUACGGUGCUGAAGCAACAAAUGCCCUGCUUCCAGGAAAAGCCUCUAAGCAUCAGGUAACAUCAAAUCGUACCCCAAACCGACACAGGUGGUCAGGUAGAGAAUACCAAGGCGCUUGAGAGAACUCGGGUGAAGGAACUAGGCAAAAUGGUGCCGUAACUUCGGGAGAAGGCACGCUGAUAUGUAGGUGAAGCGACUUGCUCGUGGAGCUGAAAUCAGUCGAAGAUACCAGCUGGCUGCAACUGUUUAUUAAAAACACAGCACUGUGCAAACACGAAAGUGGACGUAUACGGUGUGACGCCUGCCCGGUGCCGGAAGGUUAAUUGAUGGGGUUAGCCGCAAGGCGAAGCUCUUGAUCGAAGCCCCGGUAAACGGCGGCCGUAACUAUAACGGUCCUAAGGUAGCGAAAUUCCUUGUCGGGUAAGUUCCGACCUGCACGAAUGGCGUAAUGAUGGCCAGGCUGUCUCCACCCGAGACUCAGUGAAAUUGAACUCGCUGUGAAGAUGCAGUGUACCCGCGGCAAGACGGAAAGACCCCGUGAACCUUUACUAUAGCUUGACACUGAACAUUGAGCCUUGAUGUGUAGGAUAGGUGGGAGGCUUUGAAGUGUGGACGCCAGUCUGCAUGGAGCCGACCUUGAAAUACCACCCUUUAAUGUUUGAUGUUCUAACGUUGACCCGUAAUCCGGGUUGCGGACAGUGUCUGGUGGGUAGUUUGACUGGGGCGGUCUCCUCCUAAAGAGUAACGGAGGAGCACGAAGGUUGGCUAAUCCUGGUCGGACAUCAGGAGGUUAGUGCAAUGGCAUAAGCCAGCUUGACUGCGAGCGUGACGGCGCGAGCAGGUGCGAAAGCAGGUCAUAGUGAUCCGGUGGUUCUGAAUGGAAGGGCCAUCGCUCAACGGAUAAAAGGUACUCCGGGGAUAACAGGCUGAUACCGCCCAAGAGUUCAUAUCGACGGCGGUGUUUGGCACCUCGAUGUCGGCUCAUCACAUCCUGGGGCUGAAGUAGGUCCCAAGGGUAUGGCUGUUCGCCAUUUAAAGUGGUACGCGAGCUGGGUUUAGAACGUCGUGAGACAGUUCGGUCCCUAUCUGCCGUGGGCGCUGGAGAACUGAGGGGGGCUGCUCCUAGUACGAGAGGACCGGAGUGGACGCAUCACUGGUGUUCGGGUUGUCAUGCCAAUGGCACUGCCCGGUAGCUAAAUGCGGAAGAGAUAAGUGCUGAAAGCAUCUAAGCACGAAACUUGCCCCGAGAUGAGUUCUCCCUGACUCCUUGAGAGUCCUGAAGGAACGUUGAAGACGACGACGUUGAUAGGCCGGGUGUGUAAGCGCAGCGAUGCGUUGAGCUAACCGGUACUAAUGAACCGUGAGGCUUAACCUUACAACGCCGAAGGUGUUU